Dama dama (fallow deer) is the source of this 2300-nucleotide RNA transcript. It is a transcript of the gene named carcinoembryonic antigen-related cell adhesion molecule 18-like, with no coding region annotated. Lineage: Eukaryota; Metazoa; Chordata; Mammalia; Artiodactyla; Cervidae. The transcript is spliced from 4 exons. The record is from RefSeq and is a predicted model, not a curated record.
GAAGCGGGUAGAGACCACAGCUCAGGGCCUGAGAGGACGCAGGUCUGUAAAAGGGCCCAGAAGACGGUCGGGUCCCUGGAGAGAUCCCUCCAGCAGGAGGACUGGAGCAGCUCAUGGACCUUUUCAGCCCUAGGUGCGGAUUCUGGAGGGAACUGGUCCUUGUGGCCGGUCUGCUGGCCUGUGGGAUCUGCCAGGGUUCGGCCCAGAUGGACAUCGCCUCACUCACAGGAGUGGUAGGACAACAGAGCCUGCUGGUCAUCAGGAAUGCCCCUGAAGAUGUUCAGGAAUACAGCUGGCACCGGGGUGCAAAUGACGCUGAGGAAAAUCUGAUUAUCAGUUACAACACCACAUCUCAUUCCCAGCAGAAGGGGCCCAAGUACAGUGGCCGGGAAAGCGUGAUUUCUACUGGUGCCCUGCUGAUUGAAGAGUCUCGACUAAAUGACACAGGGAACUACACCGUGCAGGCGGCUGCCAUCAAUGACACCCAGAGAGCAACUGGCUGGCUCGAGGUUCAAGAGUUUGAAACCCUGGACAUCUCAGUCAACGCCAGCAUCGUGCUAGAGGAUGUGGACUCCAUGGCUGCCAUCUGCCACACCAACAACACCGAGGUCCAGUGGUAUGUGGCCCACACACUGGUGUCCAGCUCUGAAAGCACGGCCAUCUCCCCAGACACAAAGACCCUCAUCAUCAAAAGGGCCAAGAACUAUGACUCGCUGCUGCAGUGUGGGGUCAAAAUCGUCUUAGGGACUGUCAUUCAGAGAAGUGAACUGAUCUAUCUGACGAUGGCCUGUGAGUGUUCUGGGGUCACGAGAGGGAAGCCAAGGGUGGCAUCAGGGUUUUCAAAGGACGUGGCCACAAGACAGGCAGAACUGGUGAGAGUGGCAUGAGAUGCUCUGCAGACAGCUGUCCUGGGUUCAAAUCCCAGGUCUGGCUGUUUAAAUCUUUGCACUUCAGAACUAUCCUUACUGCUCAGACCCCUGGUUCACUCAUCCUAAAAUGGGGCCCCUCAUCUCUACUUCUCAGAUUAGAAAUAUGAUUUUUGUGGACCUCUGUCUUUUGUGUAAAGAUGUACUGGCCUACAACCAAUUGUCUCUUACAUUGGCUUUCCAGUUCUUAAGUUUUCAAAACCCAGCUUUCCCUGAGCCUUCCAAAUCAGCUCAUAGAUCAUUUUACUGAGUUCUUCAUAGAAAGCAAAAUUAUCUUCACUCCUUCUAAUGGGAUGGAAUUGAGUACACUCACUUAAAGAGUUCAAUUUUAAAACUAAGGUGUAGGCAUAUGUAAAAUAGAGAGCCAGAGAGAGUUUGAUGUAUGACACAGGGAACCCAAAGACGAUGCUCUGUGACAACCUAGAGGGAUGGCGUGGGUUCUACCCACGGAGGUGGGGGGAUCAAGAGAAGGGGACACACGGCCGAUGCAUGGCAUAUGCAUAAAAUGUAUAAUACGCAUAAUAUGGCAUAAAAAUCAUCACAAGUAACUAUCCUUCAGUUUUAAAAUAAAUUAAAAAAAUAUAAGGUAGGCAUUGCAUACAUGCUCUGUUUUUAUAACCUCUCUGCUGCCCAACCAUGCAAGUUGGCAAGCCUGCAAGACCUACUCAAAUUCUCAAACAGGUCUUGCAAAUCAAAGACACUAAACUCAGAAUUGCGAUGAAACUCAGAGUCUUUGAAAUGUUCCAAGAUUGUACAGAUUGAUCCAGUUCUUGCAUCUCUUUCAACCCAGGUCUAGAAUCAUUUCCCGUUGAAAUCUGCAACUGCAUUUGCAGGCUCUCAGAUUUCCUUACCUGUGGGUUGUGGCCACAGUGCCAAGAAAGCUGUUGCAGAGGUGACAGUCUCUGACCUUCCAACACAGCUCACUGGUCAGAGGUGUGGAAUCAAACUCAAGGACCAGGGGCUGCAGAUGUUCAGGAAAAUUCCUCCCAGUUCAUAGGGGUACUUGCCUGGUCCUUUUGUAGGUCAGCAGGGGAUUCGGGAAUCCCUAAACCUCUCCUCUGAGCCUCGUUAUCGCCAUCUAUGAAAUGGAUCAAGAAUGGCUGUGGUCACGUGGGUCGUGUGGGAACUAACUGAGUGUGUGAAGGUGUAAAGUGUGCAGAACAGCACCCGGCAUGCAGUGGGCAGGACGCCCACUUCUAUUCUACACCUAUAUUAUUAUGACACAAAGGACAGCCAGGCAGCUGGCUUGUAAUGGACCCUCUUAUGUAAUGAUCCUCAGCGAGCCCAGUAACAACAACGGCAUCCUGCCUGCUGAGAUCGGUUCCCAAAUGGAGAUGGUGUGUGUUUUCAAUGGCGCGCCAGAAUCCAAGUACC